RNAcentral lists this ribosomal RNA (217 nucleotides) under uncultured eukaryote. RNAcentral describes it as "partial 18S ribosomal RNA". It matches the Rfam family "Eukaryotic small subunit ribosomal RNA", at positions 1299 to 1458 of the family's 1831-position model. The record is from RNAcentral.
UGGUGGAGUGAUUUGUCUGGUUAAUUCCGAUAACGAACGAGACCUCAACUUAUUAACUAGUGGUGACAAUCUUCUGCUUGGUGAAGCUGGGCUUAGGUCCCGGUACGCUCGCAAGGGUGGCACUGGUCCGGCACAGUGGAUCUUUGAUGUUUGUCGCUUUUCCUUAACUUCUUAAAGGGACUAUCCAUGUUUAAUGGGUGGAAGUGAGGCAAUAACA